This 1167-nucleotide ribosomal RNA is filed under the name Campylobacter upsaliensis. RNAcentral's name for it is "partial 23S ribosomal RNA". It matches the Rfam family "Bacterial large subunit ribosomal RNA", at positions 1 to 1189 of the family's 2925-position model. The record is from RNAcentral. Lineage: Bacteria; Pseudomonadati; Campylobacterota; Epsilonproteobacteria; Campylobacterales; Campylobacteraceae.
AGGUAAGCUACUAAGAGCGAAUGGUGGAUGCCUUGACUGGUAGAGGCGAUGAAGGACGUACUAGACUGCGAUAAGCUAGGUGGAGCUGUCAAGAAGCUUUGAUGCCUAGAUUUCCGAAUGGGGCAACCCAGUAUAUAGAGAUAUAUAUUACCAUAAUGGAGCGAACGAGGGGAAUUGAAACAUCUUAGUACCCUCAGGAAAAGAAAUCAAACGAGAUUGCGUCAGUAGCGGCGAGCGAAAGCGUAAGAGGGCAAACCCAGUGCUUGCACUGGGGGUUGUAGGACUGCAAUGUGCAAGAGGAAAGGUUAGCAGAACACUCUGGAAAGUGUAGCCAUAGAGGGUGAUAGUCCCGUAUGCAAAAACCUAACCUUAGCUAGCAGUAUCCUGAGUAGGGCGGGACACGAGAAAUCCUGUCUGAAGCUGGGUAGACCACUAUCCAACCCUAAAUACUACUACCAGAUCGAUAGCGAACAAGUACCGUGAGGGAAAGGUGAAAAGAACGGCGGUGAGCCGAGUGAAAUAGAACCUGAAACCAUUUGCUUACAAUCAUUCAGAGCACUAUGUAGCAAUACAGUGUGAUGGACUGCCUUUUGCAUAAUGAGCCUGCGAGUUGUGGUGUCUGGCAAGGUUAAGCUAACGCGAAGCCGUAGCGAAAGCGAGUCUGAAUAGGGCGCUAAGUCAGAUGCUGCAGACCCGAAACGAAGUGAUCUAUCCAUGAGCAGGUUGAAGCUAGUGUAAGAACUAGUGGAGGACCGAACCCGCUAGCGUUGAAAAGCUAUGGGAUGACUUGUGGAUAGGGGUGAAAGGCCAAUCAAACUUCGUGAUAGCUGGUUCUCUCCGAAAUAUAUUUAGGUAUAGCGUUGUGUCGUAACUAAAGGGGGUAGAGCACUGAAUGGGCUAGGGCAUACACCAAUGUACCAAACCCUAUCAAACUCCGAAUACCUUUAGUGUAAUCACAGCAGUCAGGCGGCGAGUGAUAAAAUCCGUCGUCAAGAGGGAAACAACCCAGACUAACAGCUAAGGUCCCCAAAUCUUACUUAAGUGGAAAACGAUGUGAAGUUACUUAAACAACCAGGAGGUUGGCUUAGAAGCAGCCAUCCUUUAAAGAAAGCGUAAUAGCUCACUGGUCUAGUGAUUUUGCGCGGAAAAUAUAACGGGGCUAAAGUA